GGCUCUGUCCCCAGCUUCCAGCUCUUUCAACCUUCUGGGCCUCGACUCUGCCCUAAGGAGAGGCUGAGGACCAGAGCAGCAGGGGAGUCGUGACCCCCAGGGGCUCAGUAGAGCAUGAGCCUGGCCAUUGCCAAGCGGCCCGCCCAUGCGUGCUGUGGUUACACGGUCUUCAUGCUGGCUGGGGAGCCCCGAGAACUCGGGUUUGGUUCGUCCUCCAAACACGUGAACACGUGUUGAGCACUGACUGUGAAUGCGGCAGCUGUGAUGGGGGCUGAACUCAGGGCCAAGGAGCCAGGCUCUACUCCACUGUGACACCAGGUGUGGGGCUCGGUGCAGAGCCACACUUUGAACCUGAGAGACUGGCUGAGCUGGAUGAUUCUCAAAGUGCGCUCUGCGGACCAGCAGCAGCACCACCAGUAGCAGCAUCACCCGGGAACUCAAAGGAAAUGCAGGUUCUCUGGCCUCUGCCGAAUGCACUGAAUCAGAAUCUGCAUUUUAACAAGAUCCCCAGCUACAACCGCACAAAAGAGCCUGAACGAGAAACACUGGCUGAGCCCAGUCAACCCUGGAACCAGAAGAGAUGCUAAUGCCAUCCAGCCCUGAGAUUUGUUUGGAGGGUGACGCGGCCAAGGAUGACACCCACUGCCCCAGAGGCUGGGGGACUGGCAGGUAUAUCUUAGGGUUUGGGGGUGGGAGUGAAGGUCAUCCUGAGGAGAGUCCUUUUUGAGUGUGUUAAGGUGUCUGUGUCCAUGUGGACGGGCUGUCAGAAUGGGCUGGGGGAUGCGGUCAGGGACCACUCCCAUUCCCAGGGCCUGGGUGUCCUGACCAUCCAUGCUAGGUCUGUUCCACGUUGGCCACACUGUUCCAGGCAAGCGCCUUUGGUCACACGGACUGGUCUCUGAGACUGGUCUGAUGUGUGUACUCUCAGGAGCCUGGACAGGGGCAGUCUCAAUCCAGAAAUGACCUCUUCAAUACUUGGUGUAGUUCCCUGUAUGAAACGCCCAAUAUUAUGAGCCACCCAGGCCUGGGUCACCUGCUGACUGGCUGGAGGAAGUGCAUGGGACCAUGUGAGGUCACGGCAGCCCCAGGGUUUGCAGGUCGUCUGCAUCCUGGCUCCCCCGCUUACAAGCUGUUUGACCUUGGUGAGGUUAGAUCAUCUUCCUAAGCUUCAGUUUCUUCAGCCACACAAUAGGUACAACACUUACCCUUGAGGGUUACUGCGAUUGUCACACAAGGCAGCAUUUGCAUGGGCCCUGGGCCAUGCUAGACAUUCAUCAGGCACUGAAGCUAUGGGGGAGAGAAGUGAGGGGCCCAGGCUCUGGAGCCAGUGGGUUUAAACUCCACUCUACCACUAACAAGACAUUAUUAAAAACUUCUGUGCGCCUCCAUUUCCUCAUCUGUAACAUGGGGAUAAUAAUAGCACCUGCCUCCUGGCUUGUUGAGAGGAUAUAUGUAGUGCUUACAACAGCACAACACACAUAUAUGGGUACUUCACAAAUACAAAUCCAUUCAAGGAAACCAACCCUGGUGCCCGCAGAAGCCGAAGCCAGCUUAGGACAAGCAGAGGGGCCCAGGCCUGCCCCUCGGUUCCGGGGGCCUCACUUCUGUUCCAGGGCUGUUCAGUUACCUGCUCCUAGGCCUGGGAGGCCCAGUGGACAACAGAGUGACCUCUUCUCCACUGAUUUGAUCUGAAUACAUUCUGCCCCAUGAGGGCCCAAAUGAGGGAACUGGUAUGAUAUUCACAGAGAGGUGACAUCACCCGCUGAAGAUCACACAGCAAGUCCCUGGGCCACCUGGAUCCCGGCCACAGCUCCACCCUGC
This is a long non-coding RNA of Pan troglodytes (chimpanzee), 1821 nucleotides long. RefSeq lists it as uncharacterized. The transcript is spliced from 4 exons. The record is from RefSeq and is a predicted model, not a curated record. Lineage: Eukaryota; Metazoa; Chordata; Mammalia; Primates; Hominidae.